Molecule: ribosomal RNA, 256 nt
Filed under: uncultured bacterium
Lineage: Bacteria
Description: partial 16S ribosomal RNA
Rfam family: Bacterial small subunit ribosomal RNA
Source: RNAcentral
CGGGACGGGUGAGUAACGCGUGGAAAACCUGCCGUAUACUGGGGGAUAACACUUAGAAAUAGGUGCUAAUACCGCAUAAGCGCACAGCUUCGCAUGAAGCGGUGUGAAAAACUCUGGUGGUAUACGAUGGUUCCGCGUCUGAUUAGCUAGUUGGUGGGGCAAUGGCCUACCAAGGCAACGAUCAGUAGCCGGCCUGAGAGGGUGAACGGCCACAUUGGGACUGAGACACGGCCCAAACUCCUACGGAAGGCAGCAG